CCUACGGGUGGCUGCAGUGGGGAAUAUUGCACAAUGGGGGAAACCCUGAUGCAGUGACGCCGCGUGAAGGAAGAAGUAUUUCGGUAUGUAAACUUCUAUCAGCAGGGAAGAAAAUGACGGUACCUGACUAAGAAGCCCCGGCUAACUACGUGCCAGCAGCCGCGGUAAUACGUAGGGGGCAAGCGUUAUCCGGAUUUACUGGGUGUAAAGGGAGCGGAGGCGGUUAUGCAAGUCAGAAGUGAAAGCCCGCAGCUCAACUGCGGGACUGCUUUUGAAACUGUAUGACUAGAUUGCAGGAGAGGUAAGUGGAAUUCCUAGUGUAGCGGUGGAAUGCGUAGAUAUUAGGAGGAACACCAGUGGCGAAGGCGGCUUACUGGACUGUAAAUGACGCUGAGGCUCGAAAGCGUGGGGAGCAAACAGGAUUAGAUACCCUUGUAGUC
Molecule: ribosomal RNA, 440 nt
Filed under: uncultured bacterium
Lineage: Bacteria
Description: partial 16S ribosomal RNA
Rfam family: Bacterial small subunit ribosomal RNA
Source: RNAcentral